RNAcentral lists this transfer RNA (66 nucleotides) under Ochlodes venata (large skipper). Its description in RNAcentral is "tRNA-Phe". Lineage: Eukaryota; Metazoa; Arthropoda; Insecta; Lepidoptera; Hesperiidae. The record is from RNAcentral.
AUUUAAAUAGCUUAAAUUUAGAGUUUAAUAUUGAAGAUAUUAAGGUGAUAAAAUUAUCUUUAAAUA